This 1168-nucleotide small RNA is filed under the name Pan troglodytes (chimpanzee). RNAcentral describes it as "retained intron". The record is from RNAcentral. Lineage: Eukaryota; Metazoa; Chordata; Mammalia; Primates; Hominidae.
AGUGCGCGACGGCGGCGGCGGCGCGGGAGAUUCGGAGCGGGAGCUCGGGCUCGCGGACGGUAUGGAGGACUACGAGCAGGAGCUGUGCGGCGUCGAGGAUGAUUUCCACAACCAGUUCGCUGCCGAGCUGGAGGUGCUGGCAGAGCUGGAAGGGGCGUCGACUCCGUCGCCCUCCGGGGUCCCCCUGUCCACCGCGGGCCGACCCCCGCGGACGUUCGAGGAGGCCCUUGCCAGAGGGGACGCGGCCUCCAGUCCCGCCCCAGCCGCAUCUGUGGGCAGCAGCCAGGGCGGCGCCAGGAAGAGGCAGGUGGACGCCGACCUGCAGCCGGCCGGGUCCCUGCCCCACGCCCCCAGGAUCAAACGGCCUAGGCUGCAGGUGGUCAAGAGGCUGAACUUCAGGUCGGAGGAGAUGGAGGAGCCGCCCCCUCCCGACUCCUCGCCGACGGACAUCACCCCGCCGCCGAGCCCUGAGGACCUCGCAGAGCUUUGGGGCCACGGAGUCUCAGACGCUGCUGCCGACGUGGGUCUCACACGGGCCUCACCAGCUGCCCGCAAUCCCGUCCUGAGGCGGCCCCCCAUCUUGGAGGACUAUGUCCACGUGACAUCCACGGAGGGCGUCCGGGCUUAUCUGGUGCUGCGUGCUGACCCCAUGGCCCCGGGGGUGCAGGGCUCUCUCCUCCAUGUCCCAUGGCGAGGCGGUGGCCAGCUGGACCUGCUGGGUGUGUCCUUUGCCUCCCUGAAGAAGCAGGUCGACGGCGAGGUAGGGGCUGCGGGUUUACUGGGGGCUGGUGGCGGGGCCGCCUGAGCCCUCCUGAUUCCAGCCUGUUUGCACAGCGGCGGGAGCGGCUGCUUCAGGAGGCCCAGAGGCUUUCAGACACCCUGCACAGUCUCAGGUCGGGGGAGGAGGAGGCAGCCCAGCCCUUGGGGGCCCCUGAGGAGGAGCUGACUGACGGCCAAGACGCCUCCAGUCAAUGCCUCUGGGUGGAUGAGUUUGCACCCCGCUACUACACGGAGCUGCUCAGUGAUGACGUGAGGUUUUGUUCUCGCUUAAGUGUGGCUGGCUUUCUCUGUUCCCAAGACGGAAGAACCUGGGCCCAGUGAUUUUUGCACAGCCAAUCCACUGGGCCUCGGGGACGGAGUGGGCUCUGGUUUGCCCUUUUGAGUUGUA